Non-coding RNA from Mycena leptocephala, 92 nucleotides. The record is from the annotation of a GenBank genome assembly. Lineage: Eukaryota; Fungi; Basidiomycota; Agaricomycetes; Agaricales; Mycenaceae.
GCGUCCUUGGUGUAACGGUAACACACACAAUCUAUUAAUUGCAGUCUAGUAGGAUUUAGAUUGGGUCCGGGGUUCAACUCCCCGAGGGCGCA